UUAUUGACUCUUUUGAUGUAAUUGAGUGGUGGCCUAAUUAAUCAUAUUUAAUUUAGAAUUUGCUAUAGAUAAAGGUCAAUCCUAACAGAUUUAGAACUACUUGAUAUGGUAUAUUUUAUCCAUAUCCCAUCUAUUUCAGAUUUAAAUAGAAUCCUAAUCAGAUUUUGAUAGGAAGUUGAUCUGAACUCUAUAUAAAGGAGUAUUGGUCCUGCCACCUUCUCAUACGCAUUCUGGUAAAGAAUUAUCAUCGGUUCCACUCCAUACGGUAGAGUGCCUGAGAUAGGAGGAGAAAUCAAAUCACGCAAGUUCGGUUCGUGACUUUCAAAUCAUAGCCGGACUUCACGCUUACGCAAGUUGAUCAGAAAUUUCUUCUCGAUGGCGCUCUGUGAGUUAUCUUAUAUUCUUAUUUUGAUCAUAAAUUUUGGUAUGUAUUUAUUUCUUUAUUUAUUUUACAUAACUUGAAUUUCUAUCACUUCUAUCUUCU
RNAcentral lists this long non-coding RNA (484 nucleotides) under Ananas comosus (pineapple). Its description in RNAcentral is "long non-coding RNA (ACOM_LNC028520)". The record is from RNAcentral. Lineage: Eukaryota; Viridiplantae; Streptophyta; Magnoliopsida; Poales; Bromeliaceae.